Molecule: long non-coding RNA, 15606 nt
Organism: Passer domesticus (house sparrow)
Lineage: Eukaryota; Metazoa; Chordata; Aves; Passeriformes; Passeridae
Exons: 8
Source: RefSeq, a predicted model, not a curated record
UAUAUAAAGUGGGAGGAAGAAGGUGGAAAGAGGGGAACAUUUGGAAUGGUGGUGUUUUAAGUCCCUGUUAUAGGUGAUGGUCCCUGCUCUUCUGGAGAUGGCUGAACACCUUCCUGGUCAUGGGAAGUAGUGAAUUAAUGUCUUCUUUUGUUUGGCUUCUCUGUGCAGCUUUUGCUUUCCCUAUCAAACUGUCUUUAUCUCAACCCAUGACUUUUCUAGUUUACUACUCCAAUUCUUUCCUGAUCCUGCUGGGGAGGGAGGGGGUGGCUGUGUGGGGCUUGGCUGCCAGAGGUGGUGAAACCACAGGAGCUCUGUUUGGUGCCCAGUGUGGGGCUGAAGGGUUUGGGAUAACACCAGGUUCAAUUGGGAUGUACUAGACUGAAUUUACAGCUCUUAGUGCUGUUCAGCCAGGCACCAGCAGGCUCCUGUUCCUGCCAUGGGGCUUGAUUACCUGAUUGUGCAUUAGAAUCCACUGCUCAGUAGUGGCCACUUCUUGCAUUUCCUGCCUGCUGUAGUGCUGUACUGCUUAUCACCUCUCUGGGUUGUGCCACGGGGCACUGCUGCUGCCCUGCACAGGCUGGAUGCAGCCAGCAGGGCAGACACUGGUGUGUACAAAUGUGUGCUCAGAGCUGCUCCAGACCUGGUGCUGAAGGCAGGUGAUUGUUCAAACAGCUUGUAUUCCUCUCGUAUGAGUGGAAAUCACAGUGACAGAAUACUUUUGCUGCCAAUGAGUAAAAUUUUGUAACUAACUUCUUUGCUGCAGAAAUUAAAGAGUCCAAAUCUCGACAGGUCAAAAUUUGUUUUAAAAGACAACUUUGGGAUGGAAUUGUUCAUCAGGUAUCAAAGCUUGGGGUUGUUUGCUCCUAGCUGUUUACUUGCUUUCCCCUGGAGGAUUAUCCAGGAGGAUGAAGUGGGUGUAGCUAUCCCCAUGAAUAUCCCUGCUCAGGGACAGCACUGGAAGAUAACCAGCAUAGCUCAGCUAUUUAUAUACCCUGAAAAAUAUUAUUUAGUCAUGUAUUUCCAUUUAACUGUAGAGAAAGCCAUAGCAUUUAACACAUAAAAAGAAUAAUUUUCUCUUAUUGUCCCUAUCUGCAUUUACUGCAUUAUCUUGAUCACAAAGACAACAAUUUCCAAAAUACAACUUUAAAUGUAAAGUAAAUAAUCAUAGCUGCAACAAAAACGUGUCUCCUAGAAGUAGCGAGACAUGUUCAUCUGUCAAAGGCUAUAUUUAAUUACUGAGAAGGAAAUUACAUAAAAGUUAGAGAUACCAAUUAAGAUGAAGACAGGACUGUUUGAGAUUCAAUAUAAGCCUUUACAUCUUUCUGUUCCUUUAAUUUGCAAGAAUUACCAAUCAAGAAACUGUGGACUCACUCUCAGAUUUCAACACUUGAUUAAAUGCUUUCAGUAUAUUCUGAUUUGUUUAUGUUCGCAAAAGUGUGACUGUGACAACAAAUCAUGCAGAACUAUUUCAUGGUUAUCAUGAAAUUCUACAUAUUUUAUGUUUCAGAAUAUAAAUUGAUGAUCAUUAAGUUGAGCUUUUCCUGCUAUGUGGUAUAGAGUGGUAACAAUUGUGCUAUAAAAGAUGCAUUCAGCUCUACAUGGCUUGCAGUAACCUUGCAAAUCCAGUAUAUUUUCAACAGCACCAAAAAAAAAACUGUGAGGAAGCAACAAAAUCAACUCUAUUUUGCUCUCAGAACUUUGAUAAGUCUCAGCUGAAAAGAAAGCCACAGGCUGUUCUUCUCUUUAUUUCCUUUUUUAAAAAGAGAGGGGUAGGAAAUAUUGAUAGCAAACCUGAGUCCAGCAGAGUGUUUGUGUUUCCUUUGGAGUCCCUAGCUUGGUCACAGUCAGAGUGAGCAUUAGGGACAAUGCAGAGCAGUGCUCUCCUGGGUUCUAGCAAUUCCUGUGUUCCUGCAGUUAAUAGCUGCCCCUCAGCCACAGGAGUGCACCUUCUUUGGGACUGGCAGGAUUCAUGAGAAUAACCCCGUGUAGUCAAAUCACGGGGCCAUACAAUGGAGUUACUGUAGGCAAACAAAGAGCCACAGUCAGGCAAAAACAGGGAAAUGGGAAUGCAACCAUGGAAGAGAGGAGAGUAAACAUAAGGGAUGGACUCCUAACACUGUCCACCUUGCCUGCAUUCAAAACCAACAUGCCAAAAUAAUGAAAAUUUGUUUCUCAUUGAUUUUGUUACAAUAGCAAAUAAAAACUCAUCACAAAAGUUCUGGAUAAUAGAUGGUGCCUUUGCAAAUGCUCCCUGCAUGGAGCUUCCCUGAGUUUUGAAAGAGGGUUGGACCAGCCCCCAUUUCAGCACGGCAGGCACCUGCUCAAUAAAUAAAUCAUUCUUCCACUAGCAGUGAGUUUGCUGCCCCUUCUGAGUAAGCGCUGCCAGGCAGGCACGGUGCAGCCAGGGCUGAGGAGUUCCCUGUGCAGAGCUAUCAGCAGAUGGCUCUGCUGGCCAGGCUAUCUCAGCAGCAGCUGCAGCUCUGCCAGGAGCGGGGCUCAGCCCACAGAUACACUCCACUGCCCGACAGCCACAGAAAAAAAGAUGCUCAUGGUGCCUUACUUAUUACUUAAUUGUCAUUUGAACAGACUUUUGAGUUCCAUUAUAGAAUUUUUCUUCGUAGUUGUUACACAUGCAGCACAUGUACAAAGGUAGGAGGCACAGAUGUAACAGCCUAAAAAUGCUAACAAUUAGGUAAGGGAGAGCACAUCCAGAUGGGUCAGGCAGCUAAAGUACACAUUUCCUUUGGAAGUCUGCAAUGCCAAGACAGGCAAAGACUGCCCCUAAUGUAGGCACUACACAUGACAUUGUUACUAACAGAGUCACAAAAGGGAUGUUUACCGUCAGUCAACCACACCUAUAUAAUUUAUAUGUUCACUGACUGCAAACCUCUCCAAGUUAUUUCCUGGAGAGAUCCCAAACACAAAGGGCUGUCCAACUGCCCCAAAAUCAAGAUAUUUGACUUUUUUCAGUAGUAGAAUUAACAUGCAGAAGAUUCCUCAUAAAUGCUCAUAACCCUCCAUUUCCUUUCACCUCAUGAUGGAAACUUCAUUUUUCUCAGAAAUAGGAUCCACUUCUUGAAGUCCAGUGACUCACUUAAGCAAUUGCCUUUGGUAAACUGGGAUGACAAAUGCCUUCCAGUACUAUCAGGGAAAUUAAGAUAAAUCAGCUCUCAACUAGCAGAGGACUGAGCCACCAAGAUGGGACUACAGAUUCCUACUCCCAGCAGGUCUGACCUUCCUGCAGAGUGGGAGUGUCUAAAUUUAGUAGAAACAUUGCUUUAUAGUCAGUAUGGUACCUCAGCUGGCCUUGGUGGGACCAAUUCACAUAUCCCUGCACCUACAUCUCAAUUUUCCUGAUAGCUGGAAGAUUUCCAGCACCCUUGUUGCACCCUUGUACAAGGGAGUAACGACAAUAAUCAUUCUGCAUCCAAACUCAGCAAGAGGCUAGAUAACCCUGGAUGCAGAUUGAUUAUCGUCAUUACUCCCCUGUACAAGGAUGCAAUAAAAAGGAUAAAACAGUAUUUAAAACUGAAUUGAAGACAAAGAGUCCAAAGAAAUCAUAUUAGUACACUUCCAGUAAAGAACCAGCCAGGUACUGAUUUCAAAAGGCAAAUUUCUGUUAUUUGUACCAUGCUUAUACUGCAACCCCAAGGUUGCAAGCCACAUCUCUGGGAAGUCUGAGGAAUCAAAGUUUAGGCAAAAUGCAAGCAGCAUGAUGGUGGAUUGUGUCUGGAAAUAUUACUCUACUUUCACUAAUAGAGACAUUUCAGUAACACAGGCUUAGAAGACUCAGCUUGUGCUUUAGCCAAAAUGACAAUAUUGCUCCAUUUGAAAAGAAGAAGGUUAAUGGCAUUCCCACACAGAACACAUGAAGUAUGAGUGCCCAGCACGUGCUUUAAUAGCAAUCCAUCUACAUUAAGUACCAUUCCCAUUAAUACUGCUCCCCUUGUAAAGGAGCACUGAAAUAAAUGGAAAUCCUUAGUCUGAGUUCAGUGAGCCCUAGAUUGCAAUCUCAGAGCUAUCAUUUUUAUACUGGAGGCAACAUUUCAGCCCUGUAAUGACUCCUCAUAAAUUUAGACAUGGGAGGAACCUCAGCAAUACAAAGAAAGAAAAUUGAUCUGAGAUGUACAGAAGUGCCCCACUGCACUUAAAUGCCAGGUCCAGAUUUCCUCCCCAAGCAGCCAAAAUGUGUGCACUUCCUCAUUUGAUUAAAAUUGUCUUUCAAGCUGCCUCAAGUUCUGAUGAGAAAUGGACUGUGUCACUCUACAAUUACAUGGUGCCUUUCACAGAUUCCUUUUGUUUUUUACUUGAUGUCCCAGCUGCCUUUUUAGUUACACACAUAGACUGAGAAUUUCUGCAUUUUCUCUCUAUUGGGCAGUGAUACAGACUACAUGAAGUGAAUUUCUUCAUCCAAGCCUUCUGUCCACAGAGCUGGUCAGACAUUCACAGCCCUGAACUAACACCUUGGAUGGCUUCAAAUCCUCAAGAAGCUUUGUGAAAUGGGGAAAAAUCUACCAGGAAAAGAACUUUUGUGACAAAUUUUGUCUUUCAGACAAUGAUCACCACAUCAUCCUUCAUGUAGGUGUCAAACUGUAGAACUGAUGUUCUUGUUCCCUAAAUAGGAUGAAAAAGGACGUUGGUGCUUCUGACUUUUCCUCAGUGUCCAUGAGAAGCAGCCCCCGAGGCACCACACCAGCAGUGAAUCUUUCUCUAUGGAGCGACACUUACAGGCCUUAAACUUGCACCAAGCUCCCACUGGAGUCCUGUGGAAGACUGUGUGGUUGCUCACACAUGAAAGGUUGUGCAACAGCACCUUGUGGUGAGACAGUGACUUGUUCUGUGUGUGCACCAUGCCCAGCACAACCAGGUCCUGACACGGGAGCUGUACAGAGACCAGACUGAACGGAACUCCACGAGGUGAGGGUGAAGCGAUGCUGUCGUACGGGCAGUGGCGGCAACCACAGAGGUAACACCAACACCAAGGGGGUGCAGAGAGAACCGGGAUUACCUGCUGGGCCUGCUGCAGCAGCUCCAUCCUCUCGUGCAAGAUCUGGCUGUCAAACUCGCGGCUCUGCCUCAGGAUCUGCCGCCGCACCUUCUCCACCGCCGCCCGCAAAUCCUCCCGCUGCGCUUCCGUCAGCGACUCGCUCGCCCGCCUGCCUGGGUCCUGCUGCAGGGCAUUGUACAGCGUGGCCUCCAGCUCCUGGAUUUUCUAAUGCAACCCAAAUCACACACAGACAGGCUGACGUUUGAAUCCAGCAAGCAAACGACCCACCAAGAGCUAGAGGAGAAGGCUAGCAAGCGGAGGCUGAGGCGGGAGGGCAGGAUGGACACAGACAGAGAGACAGAAAGCAGCAAGCGUGAGCAGUGAGGAGCAUUCCACACAGAGUGCACGCAGCCUCCUGGCACGGAUUGACACCUGGGAGAUGGGUCCUGUUCUAGCAAAUCAUUGGUUCUUCCACUUAAGAAAGAUUCAGAAGAUAGGUCUACAUUCAGUACCUGAUAAAACUCCAAAUCCUGAUGUGAAACAUUACAAAUUUAACUUAAACUAACAAAUUUCCUUCAACUGCAGCUGAAUUGUUAAGCCAUCCUAUAAAAUAAAAAGACCACAGAAAAAAUUGUGAACAGAAAUCUCACUCUACCUCUCUGUUGUCCUAGUGACCUGAUAGCCUUGGUUCAGUCUAUGUCACUGGCUUAGCUCCAAGUUGCCAUAAGCAAUGAAGGAAGGAACGCUUGUAUACACUAAUCCCUCAUCCAUCUCUUGCUGUCUGCAGAUUCCUAACAUGAUUCUCAUGCACUGACCAAAACUGCAGUACUUUGCAAAGCACACAACACAGGAGAACUUCAGAUUCAUGUGGAGAAUUGUACUCCCAAGAGGAAAGGAAGGAAUCCUGGCAGUGUUUCCUUGAUUACUGGGGUUAGCAUGAUCCUAUCAAAACCCAGCAUCCAGACUAACAAUACUUGGAUCAAGAGCAUCUGACCACAUCCCUUUGGCCCUCAUAACACCUUUGCGAGGUCCUGAGCAAUAAUAAAAACAAGGGAGUGUUUGUUCUUCAUCCUAAUUCAUGAAGAAUCAUAAAUGCCAUAAUUUUUAUGCAAGCUUUCCACUUGAAAGCAAAAGAAAACCCAUAGCAAAUGACCACAUUCAUCCUAAGGAUAUCUGGAAUAUCAAAUUUACUAUAUUAGCACCUCAAAUCUAUGUAUCAUAUUAACAAGCUAUACCUAGAGAGCAUUGACCUCUACACCAGUGUACAAACCUGCCUGGACCUGAGAGAAGUGCAGCAAAAGGGAGGAAACCCGAGCAUGCAGGGCCACAGCUGGAUUCUGCAGCACCGUCCCGUGACCUGCCACUGAAGCUGAAGUAACAUCUCGGUCCUCAGCUUCUACAGGCAGGAGAAUUGAAACAGGAUGAAUGCAAUGCUGCUUACUUAUCUACCUGUAAAAGGUGUGGUGAGGAUUAAUCAGUGUUUGGAACACCAUUUGAGGAUCUGAAGCACAGCAUGCAUGGUAAACCAAUAAAGCCAAACACUCCUCCUAAAACUGUUUAACAUAGGGAAAAAUAAGGUGACAAGCUGAAAAUAUUCCUAAGGAAAGCCUCACCAUGGAUAUUUGAGGAUCCUGAACCUUUCAAACCAGUGGAAAUGGAAAAUUCUGAGCAUCUGUCACAGCUACCCUCAAUCAAGUGAAGGGCUAUUUGCAAAAAUUAGAGGCCUAAUUUUUUUUUAAGAGGAAAGGACCACUGACUACUGUGAGCUUUUUCAGUCAUCCACAGAAAGAAAUGAGCCCAAAAGGGACCGUGGGCACCUUACAACUGCUCCCAGAGGACACCAGCACUUCUGGGAAUGGAGUAUCUUGUGUUAAGUGGAUUUUUAGUUCUUUAUGCCAAGGGAGUAUCUCCAAAACAUGUUUUUAUUUUUAAACUGGGUUUCUUUCUUAAGUUUGGCUUUACCUCAAGACAUCACAAUCCCAACAUUCAUGUAAGGAAGAAUACAUGCUCCAAUCCAGAUGACCUGAACAGAAAAGCCAUGCUUCCCUGGCAAUGUUAUGAGGUAUCUUAGAAGACACAGCCAAUUUUUAGCAGAGAAAAAUAUUUACUGAAUUCUACCUUUUCACAGAGGGAAAGCACAGUCACAGCUUGGAUUAUUGCAACCUGCUCUUCAUUUCUCAAAUUCUAAAAUACAAAAAGAUGCAUUUUAAAUUGGAGUAAAAAUUUAUCCUUUAACACGAGCAGUAAGUUUUAACCAUACUUCAAAAAGUAAAUCAAUUAUAACAUUUAGGAUUAUAGACAUGACCAAAAGGAUCCCAUGACUGAAAGCACUGAAAAUUAAACCAAGGGUGCUUAGAAGCACCCAAGUUGCACUCUAUUUCAGCACACCAGCCCCACAACAUUUUUUUCAACAGAUCAUUCAACAAAAAUUAAGUGGUUUCAGUCAGGGAUUUUGCAAUUUUUUGCCUGUUUUUGCCAGUUCACCAGACUAAGCCUUGCAGCAAGUGAAUCUCACCUUCGUGCACUUCAGACUUCCAAUUAAAGAAAACAAUGCAAGGAGUAAGGGCCAUAGAAACCUCCACAGGACUUGCAACAUGCAAAUCUAACAUGCAAAUCUAGAAGUUAAAACUAGUAUUAAAAAGACCUAAAUCUGUUAAAUCUAGCUGUAAACUGGACUCAGCUCCCUGGAUGCUUGUGCCCCAAACAUGUGGCUAAGAUUUAUACUGUAUUUAGCAAUAAAGAGGAAAAAGGGGAGACAGUUUUCCUUGCCUUUCUCCCAGAAAAUCCACUCCUGGCAGUGACAGCCUUCACAGCAGAAGGUGCUACUAUUACUACUCAAGAGGGAUAAUUCACAACUUGGUCUGGCUUUGACUUGUUUUGCAUCUUUUCACUUUGCCUGCUACAGUGCCUGUUUUCUGUAUCAUUUGGUCAAGACCAAAUCCUACCUUAAAAAAAUACUCUUUUCACUACCAUCAUUUUAACUAAAAUUUUGUGUUGUAAAAGCCAUUCCUUAGCAUUUAUGUUCUUCAUACAAACACAGACAUCACCCUGUGCACUGCCUUGGAUGUUAGUAUUUGCUGUGGAAAAAGAAUGUUUUAAAUUAACCAUGAAACUGGAGAUACAUGUAAUAGUAAAAAGUGUUACCCCAUUAUCUCCAAGAAUAUCUAGCUUCUUCAUAAGUUCAGAUAUAUUCACGUCCUGAAAAAGAUGUUUGACACUUAUUUUUUAUGAAGUAGGUCAGAAACAGUUUUUAUAUGAUAUAUUUUAUGUACCCUUUACUCUUUUCUCUGUGUGAAAAGACUUCAAAUAUAAAUAAGUUAAACAUAGCUUUGCAUCACAAUUACAAAAGUAAUUACUGGUACUUUAAGAAAAACCAAAAGUCACUUUGAAUUACAACAAGCAACCUGGAUGUCUGUGCAUGAGGGCAGAAUGUUCCUGUAUGAUUCACACUUAUCCUGCCAAUGUAUGCAUAGGAAAGAUCAAAACUGAUGAACAGGUUUAAAAGAUGUAAAGAGAAAGGGGCUAAAAGACUUUUUUUUUUUGUUUGUAUCAAGUGGAGCAUCAACCACAUCAAGCUACAGAAGUUACAAGGACAGAGAGUAUGAACAAGUAAUUGCUAAGAAAGUAAUUGCUAAGUAUGAACAAGUAAUUGCUCAGAAUUUGCUUGGUUGUUUGCUUUUUGUUUUCUUUGUUAAACAAAACCAUGGAGUUCCAAAUCAGCCUUACAAUGGCAGAAGAGAAUGUGCACAGUGGGCUGAACAUCCUCCUCCAAACAGCUUAUCAGCUCAUAAUCAUCUUUCUGAUUAGAAAGCCACAUUUCUUUGCCACUCAGCUCCCAGAUAAUGAACUUAACAACCAUCCUUAUUAAGGCUCAGUCACUGAAAUAAAGAAAACCACUUCUCUGAUUCAAAAAAGAGAGCAAUAAAUUCAUGGAAUCACAUAAUCAUAGAAUAUGCUGAGCUGGAAGAGAUGCAUCAGGAUCACUCAGUCUAAAUCCUGGCCCUACAUUUCAUCAUCCCCAGGAGUCAUACUAUGUGCCUGAGAGCAUUGUCCAAACACUUCAACUCUGUCAGGUUGGUGCUGUGACCCCUUCCCUGGGGAGCUGUUCCAGUGCCCAAACACCCCCUGGGUGAAGAACCUUUCCCUGAUAAAAUUCACAUGAUGUCUGUAUUUAACACUGUACCAGGAUCUAUUCCUAGGCCCAAAACUCUAUUUAAAGUUUAAAAAGUUGUUGGAAAGGGUCAUGGAACUGUUUAACCAGACAUAAUCACAUUCUCCUGAACCAUCUCAAGUUUGGUCUGGAAUUUAACGUGGCCCAGGGAUCGUUUCCACUGACAGCCUGCGUGCAGCCAUGCUGUUUGAAGGCAGGAAGCCUUGAGAGCAUGGGAAUAGCCCAGUCCAUGGCAGUCCAAAAUGCUUAAUACACGAGCCUUGUUAAAUGCUGCCACCCUCAACUUCUACUCAGCAUGUAGAAAAGGCCAGCACAUCACAUGGCCAUGUGUGGUUUUUGAGUUUUUCUGUCCUGAGAGGUCCCCUCCAUCUCUUCCCAAAAACUUCAGAGGUGUUCCCAAAUGCUACAUGAGCUAUUUAACUAUAUGUGCUCCAGAGCACAUCACUAACUCUAGAAUGGUGCAGAUCCUAAUACACUUGUGUUUGGGUGUAUGUUAAAAACAAAACUAUUGAUUACAAUCAGUAUUGACAAGGCUGAACAGAAACUUCUUCAGUCAAUGAGUUACACUAGUGAAGAAUGGAAAUUAUUUGCCUCUAUUGAGCCAGAAAUAAUCAUUCUAAUAAUUUAUUUCCAUAUGAUGCAUAAAGGAAGAAUCAGAAACCAAAUCAGAUUUUGCAUCAUUCUGGAAUCUACAUUGCUACUGCUGGUUAAUAAUUCUUAAAAGCACUAAGGUAAAAAGGUCAACUAUUUCAGUCUGCCCAUUUUAGGUGACUGCCCCACCUUCCAGGUAAGCAAACUGAAAGGCUGAAAGGCAGAUUGAACAGAAUGCACCUGUUAAAGCAUGUCAUAGAUGACAAUGGAAAAAAGGGAUUAUGGACUGGUACACUGUACCUGCUACAGCCAACAUGCAGAUUAGAAAAACAGGUAAGCUAAAAGUGGGUCUGGCUCUAUUUGUAGGUGGUAUACUAACUGAUGACUCUUGGUGGGCUUUGGGAGAUGAGAAUCCAACCAAAUCUGUAGGUAAGAAGCAGGUUUUAAUUCUUUUCUUUCAGACUACUCAACUUCCUAAAAAUAUGCAGGGGCAAUUUCAGUUUAUUUCCUCUAGAGAUCAUGCUGUGCUCAUUAAAGCACUGAACAGCAACAAGCCUCUUAUAAGAGGACUUGUAAACACAACUAAAAAUUCAACCAUAAAUCAUUAGUGAGUGACACUGAGAUUAUGCUGUAGUUUGUAGAAAAGUUACCCAGCUCUGUUGUGUAACAUUAUUGACAACACAAGUCUGAAUUCAAUCUUAAGUGAACCAGCAUGCACAUCAAGUUGCAGAAAUAGCCUGUUCAUGGGGGAACAGGAGUGAAAAGAGUAAUUCUUGCUUCCUUAUAUCAGAAGGUAAUCAAGGGAGAUCCUGAUGUUUAUCUUGUUCUUGCUCUAAAAGAGUUCCACCUAUCUGAAUGAGUUCUGGGUCAGGCACCUCAUGCUUCAAGGCCCUGGCCUUGGCAAAUAAGCAUAUUCAUUCAACAAAUAAAAGCCUUCACUAAACUGGGUGUAAAAUAAAGACUGAAAGUAGUAUUUCUGAACUCAGAUGAAGACAUUUAAUAUCAUGAACCAUGAACUGUAGCAAGCCUGACAAGGAAUCACAUUAACAUCAAGAUUCUUCCCUAGACUAAAUGUAAAAUAUCUUGAUUGACCAGCCUUCACUUUCACUGAGGAACUCCUGACAUAACCAGAUCAUAUUCUUAUGAAACUGUUUUCCCAGUUAAAAAUAUAUUUUCUUACUGAAUUUUUUCUUUCGCAUUUUCUUCCCUGGUAAGUGUCAAGCCAUUUGUUUGGAUAUUAGACUGGUCAUUCAAGAAAGGUUCCUAGCCAUCCAACUGUUUCUAGUGUUUCUCUGCAUAUACCUUUAUUCCUUCCUGAUGGCAGAACAGUUGAAGUGCACUUCCAUUGUUUUCAGGGAAGGUGGUUAUAUGAAGAUUAAAUGCUGGUGACCUUCGCUCUCUCUCCUGAGGAAAGAUUUGUUUAAAAACAACAUUUGUGAUUAUACAUUAUCAUUUAUUCCCCACCUUUACAAACAUACUUGUACAUUAAAAAGGCAGAUCCCUCUCUCAUUCCAAAUCUGUUCUAUUUCCUCUUACUUUUACUAUAUUUGAAGAAUUUUGGCUAAAUAAAAACAUGGUGUUAGCUGCCAACUGACUCCAUGCACACAGUGUCUGCAAAGCUACCUGACACUCCCCAGCUGCAGAACCCUUGCAACACUGGCCCUAAUUGACUGGAGCCCUGAAAUACUCUGCAGGGUUUUAGGCUGAUUAUAACCUUAUUUAAUUACUGUUUUCCUUCAUGGAACAAUAAAAAAAUUAGAAAGAAAAAUCUGCAGAAAAAAAAUUAAACUCCAUCACGAAAUAGUAAUAUUGAAUAUUUUCUCACUAUAAUUAAACCUGUGUGUCUGGUCCCUGUUUAUUGUACAGUCUACCUUCCUAUCAGGGCGUUUAAAAUCCCCAUUCAUAUUCACUCCAAAAGCCAAGAUGUCAGAAUAUGUUGAAAGGCAGCACUAUUCUACAGUUAUGAUCUUUGUGAUAAAACAAAAAAUUAAAAAUUCUCAUCUAUCUAAAGCUAGACAUUUAGUAUAUCUAAAACUUAACUGGUCCAUGUACAUGAAUUCCAUGCAUUUCUUCAAAAUACCAACCUAUUAUUUCUUCAGAAGGCAGAUAUAACAUAACAAACAAGCAACUUUUAGCUAACAUAAAUUUUAAUGUGCUUGUGAAAAAUGACUGGACUGAAGGCUCUGGGCAACCAAGGCAUUGGGUCUUACUCUGAAUUCUCUGGCCAUGAGAACAUGAGCAAGAAACACCAGAUUUCAUCUCCAUGUUACAAGGGGAUACUUUGGCAACAUGAGCUUCAUUUUCGCAGAGAGACCACUACUACAAACACUUCAGUUCCUAUGACCAUGCACGUAUUAGCCUAUUUCCUAAAUCAAAAACAUGGUGCUUUAAUUGAUAUGGCAGACAGGCUUCAUCCAUUCACUUAAACCCGUUACAAAGCAUGGCAAAUCUUGUUCAUUAGUUAGGUUAAACCUAAUUUGAAACUACAGUGUAGAGAGAAAAAUCUCUGUAGUCUAUGCGAUUUUCCCCCUCUUGAGUUUUUUAAAAAAUAAUAUUUACAUCAACAGUCUAAUUCUGAAAUGGGCUUAAAUAAUGUCUUAGCUGUUGUAAACCAAAACCAUAACUUUAAUUCUUAUCCAAAUUCAGUUAUGAUUUUAGAUAUUGUUAUAAGUUCAUCAGUUGCUAUUGCAUUCAUCUCACCUAAACUUGCUUUAAUUGAUAAAUAAAUGAUUGUGUUUUAUACUUUACCUAAUUUUCAUCUGAAAUAACUGUGCUAAAAAGUACUGUCCUGAUUACCAAAAGCAUUCCAUUGUCACACUGGUGUCUACAUGCUUGUCUACUAAGGAAAAAAUCUUUUCUUGCAAUCACACAAAAAUACUUCAAUUGUUAUUCUGUGAAAGAAUUUUUCCAAGCUUUGGCACAUGACAAAACCUUACAUGACAUACUGAGCUGUUUUUGAUGUGAUUUUUUAAUGUGAAAAAUACGUUCAUGAAGGAUCUAUUGAAGAAUUCCUUCCUUAAGAAAUAUUUUUUGGACAGUUUUACUUCUAAGAACACCCACACUUUAGGAAGCAAUUUCUAGUGCAAUGGCCAAUUGAAGUGCUAAAUUGUUCUCUAUUUUUCUUUACAGUCCUUUCAUAAAAUAUAAAGAUAUGUAUUAGAAACCAUAUCUAUUUUUCUGAACAUCUACUGAAAUUCUAGUAACCUAAAUUCAUAAUUUUGAAUAUAAUGGGCUAUGACAUCAAAACAUAUGGUUGAUAAAGGAUGAAAAAAAGAUUAAGAAAUGUCAGACAAAAAGAAGGUCCACAUAACAGGAAGACAUGACAUUUUCAUCUUUAUCAGAGAAGUUACACAUGCUGAGAUUUUUGGUGAAACGUGCUGGGUGAUAAAAAUGAAGGAGUGACAAUGACAGGUUUGUCAGAGAGUUUAUUCUAGGCAGUGUUAAGAAUGCUGGUGAUCUUUGAAACUGAACAAUGUGUCAUCAGGCAAUACAACCAUGUGACAACUGUGCAUCACACACAGACACUGCAGUGUUACUAAAUUCUGCAUGAGCCCAGUUUGUGAGGGAUGAGAACCAUUGCUUGCAGCUGUAAUCACAGGCUACAUGUUCAGUGCUAAUACAAAUAAUUGUGCUUAUUUCAUUUAUGCAAAGUAUGGAGGUUUUUUUUGGUAUAGGCAACAUACUAGUUUAACACACAGAAGUUAUAUUUCUGGUUUACCAUUUUUCUUUGGCAUUGCCAGAGGUUUGGGGUUUUUUUCAUUUUCAUUGAUUAAAGCCAAUUAUCUCCAUGACCACUUUAAACCAUGAGAAAAUGGAUUUAAGGUAAGAGGAAUUCUUUGGAGUCUGCUAUCAAGAUGUGUUCUUUCUAAGAUAAAUUUACUUCAUAUGAAUGUUGUCAACAGUAAAUCCAUGAAAUUUAAAGCAAUUCUACAUUGAUGUGAUGGACAUGUCAGAUCUUUAGUCAGAUCACUGCAUGCAAGAUGUGAGAAGGUGUGUUAAUUUAAUCAAUGCCAGCCAAGGCUGUUGAAUACAUACCAAGUGAUUUUACAUGCAGGAAAGGAGGAGUUAUGGAAAUGAAACAAAUAAAAAAGGCAAAAUAUUGCAAAACAAAAUAUUUUAUUAGAUGAAAACCAAACUAUAUGCAAUUUAUAUUAGCUAUAUUACAUCUUUAUAAACAUUAGUGAGCAUUCUCUCCAAAACAUAUUAAGGCAGUGGCAUCAAUUUCAUUAUCCCAAGAUACAACAUUUAAAAAAUAGAUACCUAAGUGACUUCCCUUAAACAUGCACCAGACAUCAGUAAUCUUUACAGGAAUUUCAGCUUGGGUUCAAACAUAAUUUCUGCUCCAUUUGAGAGUUUGCAACAGAGAGAAUCUCUUACUUCAAGCUCUAGCACUCUGAAUUCUAACAGCUCAUUCUGGUCUUUUGCAUCUUGCAUCUCAUUCUUCAGCUGAUGUUCUUCUUGUUCCAUUCUGUAAAUCUGUGAGACAAACACAACAUGGUAAUGCCCUGUAAGCACUAGAAAAGAUACUGCACAGAGUUACAAACCAGGGGUUUAGACAAAACUGUUAAUUAUUUCCAUUUUUCAUUACACAUCAGGCUGUGUCAUGUAGAUAAAAAGUUUCAUAUCAGAAAGUAUUUCUGAGAGCUGUCAGCAGAAAAUGGUCAAUGUUCUCUUAGAGUAAUAAUCCGGAAGUAGCAUAAAAGUGAUAUGAAUAUUGUACCUAAAUAAGCUAAGCAGUAUAAGUUUUCUUUUAAAAUACAGCAAAUUAAAAACUGGUUUGCAUUAACAUUUGGGUAGACUGUUCUCAUUGCCUUUGCCUAAUUAGACUUCUAAUUUUUUACAGUACAUGAAAGACGAUAAUGGUGUAGUUUUAAUGACUACUUUUUAAUUUGCCAGAAUUUUGCCUUGGGGUACUAACAAUGACAAAACAGAAAUUCAAUACUGGCUAUUAAUUAUGCCAAUUAAUAGCUUUGGUCUGCUGUCUAGUUUAACUGGGUGAUCUUUUCUUUGUACAAAACUAAAUAGAAGUGUAGCAUCUGUCAUAAUGCACUUUAACAUUUAUAGUGCCCAUUUAAGUGUCCAAGUAAAUUAAACCUGUGUGUAGCUCCUUUUAAUCAUGGUAUUUUAUUUGGUUAUCUUAUUUGUAUUAUAUUAAUAUUAAGCUAAUAAUUAACAAAAUCAGUUCUUUGUCUUCCUGAGCUGACUAGCCAACUUUCCCACCACUAUCAACAAAGAACAAUGCAGAUGCUCAGCUCUGAGUAUCUCAGACAGUUAAUAUAAUAACCCUUAAAUCAAUCAGCAUUACUUAUGUGUGGAAAAGCUAUAAAAAUGUUGAAGGGAGCAGGUAAUUUUGUUAGUCAGGAAAUAAUAAUCUUUGUGUAACUGUGUAUUUUGUUGGACACCAGAAACCUCAGCCAGCUUGGGCUGUUCUGGUGGCUAUCCAUGCUACUCCCAAUAAAAUCAGCGAUUCCUGAAGAAUAUAAAAGGAUGUUGGUACUUUAAUCAGAGACUUUAAGUUUCUGUUUCUGGUGAGAAAUAAAGCAAUUUAAUGCUGAUUUUAUAGUACUUAGUGCUUUCAAUUUCUUCUGCAAUAAAGGGCAGCAAUGGUGAAAAUAUUCCCACAUACCUUCUCUAGCAACUCCUGAUUUGUUCUAAUUAACAGCUGCUUUUCUUCUACCCAUUUUGAAUCCUGUGAGGAAAACACAUAUGUUUUGUUAAAGAAGACAAAUGAAUGCCUACAUUAAUCAGAUUUCAGACAAGUAUAAAAUGGUCACACAGUGAAAAAUAAAGCCAUCAUAAAUGUUUCAAGGCUGUACAGCAUUUUAUACUACAGUGAAAAUAAAAGUUCCUUCCUGUA